GACGAACGCUGGCGGCGGGCUUAACACAUGCAAGUCGAACGGAAAGGCCCUGCUUGUGUGGGGUGCUCGAGUGGCGAACGGGUGUGUAACACAUGAGUAACCUUCGCUUUACUGUGUGAUAACUUCAGGAAACUGGUGCUAAUACCGGAGAGGUGCGCCUGCUGCAGGGUGGUGGUUGGAAAGUUUAGGCGGUUGGGGGUGGACUCGCGGCUUAUCAGCUUGUUGGUUGGGUAGUGGCUUACCAAGGCUUUGACGGGUAGCCGGCCUGAGAGGGUGACCGGCCACCUUGGGACUGAGGUACGGCCCAGAGUCCUACGGGAGGCAGAAGUGGGGAAUAUUGCACAGUGGGCGGAAGCCUGAUGCAGAAACGCCGCGUGCGGGAUGACGGCCUUCGGGUUGUAAAGCGCUUUCGCUUGUGACGAAGCGUGAGUGACGGUACUGGGUAAAGAAGCACCGGCUAACUACGUG
This 468-nucleotide ribosomal RNA is filed under the name uncultured bacterium. RNAcentral describes it as "partial 16S ribosomal RNA". It matches the Rfam family "Bacterial small subunit ribosomal RNA", at positions 28 to 507 of the family's 1533-position model. The record is from RNAcentral.